GCCAGUGGUGAACUCCACAUACGCAUCCUUUGCUGAGGAUACGGUUAACGGAGCGAAAGCGACGUUCAACCUCAAAAGAAGCAGAGGGGGCUUAGUGGUGGGGUGACUGCGUACCUUUUGUAUAAUGGGUCAGCGACUUAUAUUCUGUAGCAAGGUUAACCGAAUAGGGGAGCCGGAGGGAAACCGAGUCUUAACCGGGCGUUAAGUUGCAGGGUAUAGACCCGAAACCCGGUGAUCUAGCCAUGGGCAGGUUGAAGGUUGGGUAACACUAACUGGAGGACCGAACCGACUAAUGUUGAAAAAUUAGCGGAUGACCUGUGGCUGGGGGUGAAAGGCCAAUCAAACCGGGAGAUAGCUGGUUCUCCCCGAAAGCUAUUUAGGUAGCGCCUCGUGAAUUCAUCUCCGGGGGUAGAGCACUGUUUCGGCUAGGGGGUCAUCCCGACUUACCAACCCGAUGCAAACUGCGAAUACCGGAGAAUGUUAUCACGGGAGACACACGGCGGGUGCUAACGUCCGUCGUGAAGAGGGAAACAACCCAGACCGCCAGCUAAGGUCCCAAAGUCAUGGUUAAGUGGGAAACGAUGUGGGAAGGCCCAGACAGCCAGGAUGUUGGCUUAGAAGCAGCCAUCAUUUAAAGAAAGCGUAAUAGCUCACUGGUCGAGUCGGCCUGCGCGGAAGAUGUAACGGGGCUAAACCAUGCACCGAAGCUGCGGCAGCGACACUAUGUGUUGUUGGGUAGGGGAGCGUUCUGUAAGCCUGCGAAGGUGUCUCGUGAGGGAUGCUGGAGGUAUCAGAAGUGCGAAUGCUGACAUAAGUAACGAUAAUGCGGGUGAAAAACCCGCACGCCGGAAGACCAAGGGUUCCUGUCCAACGUUAAUCGGGGCAGGGUGAGUCGACCCCUAAGGCGAGGCCGAAAGGCGUAGUCGAUGGGAAACAGGUUAAUAUUCCUGUACUUGGUGUUACUGCGAAGGGGGGACGGAGAAGGCUAUGUUGGCCGGGCGACGGUUGUCCCGGUUUAAGCGUGUAGGUGUGUGUUCCAGGUAAAUCCGGUUCACUUUAACACUGAGGCGUGAUGACGAGGCACUACGGUGCUGAAGCAACAAAUGCCCUGCUUCCAGGAAAAGCCUCUAAGCAUCAGGUAACAUCAAAUCGUACCCCAAACCGACACAGGUGGUCAGGUAGAGAAUACCAAGGCGCUUGAGAGAACUCGGGUGAAGGAACUAGGCAAAAUGGUGCCGUAACUUCGGGAGAAGGCACGCUGAUAUGUAGGUGAAGUGGUUUACCCAUGGAGCUGAAAUCAGUCGAAGAUACCAGCUGGCUGCAACUGUUUAUUAAAAACACAGCACUGUGCAAACACGAAAGUGGACGUAUACGGUGUGACGCCUGCCCGGUGCCGGAAGGUUAAUUGAUGGGGUUAUCCGUAAGGAGAAGCUCUUGAUCGAAGCCCCGGUAAACGGCGGCCGUAACUAUAACGGUCCUAAGGUAGCGAAAUUCCUUGUCGGGUAAGUUCCGACCUGCACGAAUGGCGUAAUGAUGGCCAGGCUGUCUCCACCCGAGACUCAGUGAAAUUGAACUCGCUGUGAAGAUGCAGUGUACCCGCGGCAAGACGGAAAGACCCCGUGAACCUUUACUAUAGCUUGACACUGAACACUGGUCCUUGAUGUGCAGGAUAGGUGGGAGGCUUUGAAGCGCGGACGCCAGUUCGUGUGGAGCCAUCCUUGAAAUACCACCCUUUAAUGGCUGGUGUUCUAACGUAGACCCGUGAUCCGGGUUGCGGACAGUGUCUGGUGGGUAGUUUGACUGGGGCGGUCUCCUCCUAAAGAGUAACGGAGGAGCACGAAGGUUAGCUAAUCCUGGUCGGACAUCAGGAGGUUAGUGCAAAGGCAUAAGCUAGCUUGACUGCGAGCGUGACGGCGCGAGCAGGUGCG
This 1928-nucleotide ribosomal RNA is filed under the name Salmonella enterica. RNAcentral describes it as "partial 23S ribosomal RNA". It matches the Rfam family "Bacterial large subunit ribosomal RNA", at positions 1 to 2401 of the family's 2925-position model. Lineage: Bacteria; Pseudomonadati; Pseudomonadota; Gammaproteobacteria; Enterobacterales; Enterobacteriaceae. The record is from RNAcentral.